Molecule: unclassified non-coding RNA, 3892 nt
Filed under: Acromyrmex echinatior (Panamanian leafcutter ant)
Lineage: Eukaryota; Metazoa; Arthropoda; Insecta; Hymenoptera; Formicidae
Description: pikachurin, transcript variant X2
Source: RNAcentral
CCCGGCCGGCACCGACGGCCGUCGUGACGCUCCGCGACGCGUGUGUGCGUUCGUUCGUUCGCGUAGGUAUAGAGGUAGAGAAGUAAAAAAGGAGUAUAAAGAGGAGAAAGAUCCGUCUGCGACAAGAACGAGAGGAAGCCGUGUCGUGCGACAGCGAUAGCUGCUUCUCUUUCUUUUUGCAAUAUUGAAACGUUGCAUUGGAUCGAGCGUUUAAUCAGCAGAAGCUACGAGAGAAUCAACGGGGCUCGCGUGAUCGGUUGUCGCAGCAUUGAUUCAUAGCGUUGUGACGAGUGUCUCGAACCAGUGCAUCUCGAAUUGCCUGGUAGUCGCGAGUAAUUAGUGAUUUGGUAGAUAGAGAGAGAGAGAGAGAGAGAGUGUCUCGUGUGUGCCGCGUAGUGAUCGACAGAAUUUGCUGGAGCAUGCGACAGUAAGGACUUAUCGACCCCAGCGACGUGCAUGUUUAUCGCUGGACAAUGGCUGGACUACGCUACAUUUGUUGGCUCUUCGUCAUCCUGGGAUACCUAUCGGUCGUUCUGGUGCUUGCCCAGAACCCUGUGGAGGAGAAGACCACCUUCGAGGCUGCUUUCCAAGGAAGAUGCGGGCACGGAUCGCCCUGCGAGCAGCUCUGUUACGAACUCCACGAUGGCAUGUACGAGUGCGACUGCAGGGACGGCUACAUACUUCAUAAAAAUGGAUACAGCUGUGCUGAACUCAACUCGACAUCGCCAUCGACGAGCGAACUCGGCGACCUCGUUGACGAGGUUGAGAGCGACGAGGCGAACGCGGACAACGCAGAUGACGAGGAUGCGGUCGAAGAUAUUCUUUAUAUACGCGGUGCAACCUUCACGAUACAUCUGGAUGCCCCAGCCGAGAAUUCCACCGUGAAUACGACGAAGAUAAACGAGGCGAAUGCGGAUCGGAUCGAGCUGCACGCCACGUCUCAGGGCCCAAAUCUGGAGCAAAAACUGCCAUCUACGAUGGAGAGCAUCGUGAGCACUGAGCCAGCAUGUUCCUUGGACUGCGGACCGGCUGGAAAUUGUUAUAUCGAGCAAUCUCGCGGAGAUGAAGUCGAUGUAGUGAUCGAAGACGACGACGACGACGGAGCCGUGGAUCUCGAAGGCAAUACCGUAAACCUCAGACGAAAGCAAGGAACAUUCAGACAGAGAUGCCAAUGUCCUCUCGGAAGAGGUGGAGAUCGUUGUCAGCUGGAAGCUGAAGUAAGAUCACCACGUUUCACUGGGUCAGGUUGGCUGGCUUUUCCCGCCUUACGAGCCGCUUACAAACACGUCCAAUUAGAAUUGGAAUUUCGACCAGAAGCAUGGGACGGAGUGCUUCUUCUGGCGGGAGAACGGGACGAUCUUCAGGGUGACUUUAUGGCCUUGAUACUUCAUCACGGCUUUAUCGAAUUCAGGUUUGAUUGUGGCAGCGGUGUGGGCACCGUGAGGAGCACGGAAACGGUGAAACUGAAUGAGUGGAACACCCUGAGUGUCUACAGACAUCGAUGGGAUGCCUGGAUCCAGCUGAAUCAAGAGAAGAGGGUAGAGGGACGAUCGAAGGGUUUGUUCUCGAGAAUUACGUUCCGCGAACCUCUCUUCGUUGGUGGACCCGGAAACACGACCGGUUUGGAGCGACUUCCGGUGAGGACUGGAUUUAAGGGCUGCAUCCGGCAUUUGGAGGCGAACGAGCACCAUUAUCGCUUCCCAUUGGCCCCGCAGGGCGAUGCCGCGAAUGGAUUCGACAUCGAGGAGUGCACGGCCGACAGGUGCAGUAAGGUGCCGUGUUCCCACGGUGGAAAAUGUCUGACAACUGGAGGCGACACGGCUGUCUGUCUCUGCCCGCUCGGCUACACAGGCGAUCUCUGCGAAACCCGAGUGGAUCUACAGGUUCCAUCCUUCAACGGAUCCUCUUACCUACGUUAUCCGGGAUUGGCGGACACGUCGCUGUCGUGGCUGGAAUUGUCCGUCACGUUAAAACCGACCGCGCUGGACGGCGUGAUACUCUACAACGGCCAUCACAGCGAUGCCACCGGUGACUUUAUUGCUCUCUAUCUCUCCUCGGGCCACGUGCAGUUCACCUUCGACCUCGGAACAGGACCUGCCACUUUGAGAAGCGAAAAUCCAAUUCGUCUUGGCGAAUGGGUCGAAGUUCGGGUCUCCAGGACAGGGCGUUUGGCAUCCUUAGAAGUUGAGGACGAUCCGGCCCAGGAAAUCCUGGCGCCCGGAGCGUUCACGCAAUUAUCCUUGCCGCUGAACCUCUAUUUAGGCGGAGCGCCGUCCUACGACAUGUACUCGCCGAAGAUGAAAACUACGGCCAGCUUCGUCGGCUGUAUUCAGACGAUCGUGCUGAAUAAUCGCGAGGUGGGUAUCCUAGCUGAAGCGUUAGGUGGAGUGAACGUAGGAAAUUGUGGGCACGCAUGCGAGGCUAGACCGUGCGGCGAUGCGGAAUGUCGGCCUCUUCGCGAGCGAUUUACCUGCCGAUGCCGUCCAGGAGUACCGCACCCUUGUCCUGCACCGGAUGAUUAUACGCCGCUGGUUCCGCCACCGGCGAGAACCAGCAACAACGCCGUUACGUCCGUGAGAUACGAGAGGGCUGUGCCCAGCUUCACCGGCAGUGAAAGCUACCUACAUUAUAACGACGCCGAUACAAUGAAAAGGAUAAUCAGUUAUAGGGUAGACAUCAAUAUGAGAUUCCGCGCCAGUAGCAGCAGCGGCUUGCUACUAUGGAGCGGUCGCCAAUCAGAUCCUCAGGAACAAAGGGAUGAAAACGACGACUUCCUCGCCCUCGGCCUGGAUCACGGUUAUCUUACUCUCGCAUAUAAUUUGGGUUCCGGAGAAGCCGUAUUACGGUAUAAUCUCACGCGAUUGGAUGACGAUCUGUGGCAUCGUAUCAGGGCCGUUAGAAAUGAACAAUGGGCAUCUCUCGUGGUAGAUAGUGGUACUGGUGUAUCAGCAUCUUCUCCGGGACAACUGAGACAACUAAACACUGAUACCGGUCUUUACGUCGGCGGUGCACCGGAUGUCGUGAGGACAACGGGAGGAAGGUACACGAAGGGCAUCGUGGGUUGCAUUAGCGACCUCGUGUUAGACUCGGACUUCUCCGUCGCUUUAUCGUCGCCCGCACAGGCAACCAACACACAUUCAUGCAUCCCCUGAAAGAGAGAUAUCCGUGCCGUCCGACGUCAGGUGGUGUUGUCGGGUCCAUCCCGAAGCUAGGAUAUGAAAAUUUAAGAAUAACGUAUCACACUGCGGUGAAAUAACCGUGGCAGAUAGUGCUCCGCGAAAGUGCAUCUGUGUCUCUCGUGCAUCCACGUGCGACCGCGUGUAAUAUCUUACGCGCGGUUCAUCAUUUUUGUACAGACUCAUCCUUCCACAGGUGGAACUCUCGAGAAGAUGGAGAUCGAGUGGGUCGGCAACCGACCACCACGUCGUGCGCGGCCAUCGACUGGAGCUAAGUCACAAGCGCAACUAUGAGCACGAGUUUUAGUUCCACGACGAUAUCGAAGUUAAUAUUGUGAUCGAUACGAGUAACUAUUAAUAAAAAUAAGAGAGAGCUAUGCCAUGGACCAAACACCAACUUGUAUCACCGUCUAUUCCAACGAGAAUAUAUAAUACGUAAAAUGCAAUUUCAGAAUGCAAAGUGCGUAAUCCUGAUGAAAAUGUGAGACUCGCAUCCUUUUAUAAGCGAUCUCAUCCGGUGUUGGGCAAACUUUACAAAUGACUUAUGCAAUAUACGGAUCUUUAACCAUUUCGUCCGUAUAAACGCCAUAUCUCAAAGAUAUUUUAAGACUAUGAUUACAAUAUAUUAUAUAUGCAAGAAUUUACCGUUUUAUGUUAGUAAUAACGCAAUUUUUAUUUUCAUUAACAUUAAAUACAAUAAAGACAACUACAAUUAU